AAAGAAGAGAGCGGCCUUCCCCGCACCCCGCCCGUGGGCCCGCCUCCAGGCCCCCGCCCCACCCCCGGCUCCGCCUCCACCCCCGCCCCGCCUCUGGCCGCGGCCCCUUCCUCCGGCAGCUGGUGCUGUGGGGCCGCCGAACCGCGCGUCGCUGUCUCUGUGGCCCCGGAUCCCAACGCGCAAAGGUGAGGAAGGCGGAGAGUGCGGGCAGCCGACGGGGCCAGGCCCGGGCUGGGGGUCGGGAGCCGGGCAAACCCUUCCCCACGUCCACUCCACCCUAUGAACUGGGCCAGGCCUUUCUCACUGCCAAGACCCCCAGUCCUGCAUAAAGGCUUUAGAGGGGCACUGGCCAGGCCUCAGGUCGCGCAGGGCGCAGACCGGCCGCCGCGGAGUCUGGGACCGGAGCGGGGCGGGGACCCGCGUGGUGAACAGUGUUCCUCUGGAUCUGGGUCACGUCUCUCGGCGUCCAGCGCGAUCGAAGGAGAGCUUGUCCUCGAGCUGCAGCAGUAGAGACUGAGGUUAGAUCUGUCGAAAGGAGAGAACCACGGACUGUCCAGAAUGGUGGAGGGAGGGGGUGGCAAGGGAGGGGCUCUCUCUAGCCAGGAGAGACCCGCCAACCUACUGGGCAGAGGGAGAUACCGCCUACAGGCAGGUGGACAUCUGGGAUGAAGGUCGAGAGCCGGCUGAUCCUCCAUUGAUCCUGUUGGGGGCGGGGGGCAUCCUUCCCCAGUCCUCUCCACCUUAGUACCUAAUAGUGAGAAGGUGAUCGGAGUUCAGGGGACCGGCAUCCUGAACUGUAGAACUCAGGGUGAAGUGUGGGGUGUGAACUGGAGACCUUGAACCCGCUUAGCCACUGGGGGAGGGGGUAUGAAUGCUCUGCCUAGUCUGGUUAGCCCCACCUGUCAUCCCUCCCAGCAGGUUAAGUGGGGGCUAUGAGCUCCCACUUACUUCUAUCCUUAAUUCCCCAAAUCUAGAACUGCAGUAUGCAUGGAGAUGGAAGACUGCUAUGUUUUGCACUUCAUUCCAUCCCUCUUUGAUAAAACUAAGGACCUCCUCCUGACUGGGUUAGUUACCUCCUCCCUCCCUUGCAGAGUAGCCUUGACCUAUGCACUCAUUCCAGGUCAGAAGCCCAGAAGCCUCCCCUCAACAUCCCCAUGUCCCCCAUCCCCACACAGAACCACAAUACACACUUGGAAUCUGGCCUUUGAAUUGGGACUUUGGGAAAGGAAGCUACCUACAGUCCUGCUCUGCACCUCACCCCAGUGAACACUGUUAGCCACCAAGCCUGCAGCAAGAAUCAGACCCCUGUAUGCAUAUGUGCUUGUCCCUACAUGGUUGUAAUUGUGUUUGAGUAUUGUGUGAACACAACAUGUAGCUGGCCCUUCUGUGAACAUUAGUAUGCCUGACUCAGUGGGUUUGUGUGCAUGUAAUCAAUGGGUUUGUGUGCAUGUCCCUACACACCUGUGUAUACCUAUACAGGACUCUCCUGUUGAAUAGGUAUACAGCCCUUUAUAUAAGCCCACAUAUGUAGGUUUAGAACCCUGAUCAUCCGCUGGGUGCAGUGGUGCAUGCCUGUAAUCCCAGCAGCUCAGGAGGUUGAGGCAGGAGGAUCACAAGUUCAAAGCCAGCCUCAGCAAAAGCAAGGUGCUAAGCAACUCAGUGAACCCUGUCUCUAAAUAAAGUGCAAAAUAGGGCUGGGGAUGUGGCUCAAUGGUCUAGUGCCUCUGAGUUCAAUCCCUGGUAUACCCCCCCAAAAAAUGGAUGGGCAUAUGAAUGCAACCUUACAUGUGAAAUGUAUCACUACACAUGGCCAUGACUCUCCAUGUAAACAUAAGUGUGCACAAACCUCCCUGUGAGUGUGAGUGUGUGAAUGACUCUCCUGUGAAUACAUGUGUUCAUAGCCCUCCCUGUGAAUGUAUACUCACACCUGUGCAUGUACAUCACCUUCCUUUGGACCCAUGUGAUUCAGGAUAAACCUGUAUAAAUGUGCCAUGUACUGCACUCUGAGUGGCUCCUUUAACCCGGGGUGUGUGCAUUCUGCCCAAUCCUAGGGACUGAUCCCUCCUGGCUAUAGGGCUCCCCGCUUCUGUGCUAAGCAAAUAGGAGGCCCCAAAGGUAAACAGGUGUGCCUCCACAGUGAGGGGUGGAACAUGAGAAGCUUGCCUGAAACUUCCUGUUGCCCCAGCCCCCAAAUCAGGAACUAGUGCCCUUUCUGUGAUCUGCAGGCCCUCUCUUCUCCCUCUCAUAGUCACUCUCCCCUCCCAUGCUGACCUUUAACUCUUGAAUAAACCCUCCAAAUUCCUGUUAUCCUCUAGCCAGCUCUUGAUCCCUCCCCUCUCUUCAAGGCCAGAUAGUUAAUAUUUGACCUGGAAGAAAGAGGAGAGGCCAGUGGCACCUUCUGACCCUGCUUCUGGGUAUCUGAUGAGAUGAGGUGAGUUGAACCACCUCCACACCAAGCCCAGGCCGGGAAAAUGAAGGACCCCCCUCAGAGAUCAGGAGACCUGUAAAAGGUGCCAGGGAAAGCCUGUCCCCCAAUCCCAAUUGUUGGCUUGAGGGAGGAUCCAGGUACGGGAAUAAUCUCCAAGAUGUGCCAGGGAAGGUGGCCAAGAACUCAGAGAUCUCACCAUCCACCUUAUCCACAUUGCUUGUGUCUCCAUUAACUGGUCUUGCACACUACAGUCUCCUGCACAGAUGUUAUACCUGUGCAGCUAGGGAUACCCAUAUACUCAUACCUGGUUCUGACCCCCUUGUGCCUGUGGAAUGCCUGCUAGCAGGUAGGGACACGUGUGGAUGCCUAGCCAGAGGGUGCAGUACAGACUCGCAUAGGCAGGGCAGAGAUGUGCACCCCCCAGAGAAGAAUGCUGAGGAGGAGAAGUGUCUAAUUAAAGAGAAAUUCCAGAGGGAGCUCUCAGGCCAAGGAAAAGAAAAAAACAAAAGGAAAACAAGACAAAAUUAACAAAGGCCCAUUAAACAUCUCUGUUCAGGCCUUCCUGCAUAAGGCACCCCCACAGGCAGCAGGGGCAGCAGCUGCCCAUUGUUGAAGAAGCAUUCUCUUUUGAGAACACAAAUUCCACCUCAAAGCGGACCUAGAAGAGCUUCUGACUUGGCCAAAGAAGGGGUGUUACUUGGGGUUUGAGUUGGAGGGAGUCCAGGAUCAGAUAAAGAGGUCAAGUUCCCAUCCUAGCCUCCUGCAUCAGAACAGAGAUGAACAGGAAUGAGUCAAUUCUGUCCUAGGAGUUCUAUGGAAGCUGGACCUCCACCCUUUGGUGUCCCUGAAGACUGGGUAAUGCCAACAAUCUUCCACUUGCCCACAGAUCAAAGAGAUUUUUAUCCUCUUUUGGUUUUUUUCCCCCCCUCCUUCAGAAAACGGACCUCAAAGAACCAGGAAUAGCCCUGCUAUCAGGGGCAAGGUGACCCAUCAGUAACCUACGAACCCUCUAUGACUCCGCAACUUCCGAUUACCAUGAAGUUUGCAUUUGAUGCAGAAAGGCAUGUGAUCCAUCCUUCCCUCUGACCCCAUAGCUGAGAUUCCAUGGCCACACAACCCUGUGGCUCCAUGUCCCCCCCAUUCCAGGAUCCUCCCUGGCCCCAUGACUUCUUGACCCCAAGGCCUCAUGUCCCCUGACCUUCUAUGUGACCUUCCUGGACUUUGACCCCUGUGACUGUGUUUCCCAUCUCCUCCUGUGACUGGCCCUGGCUACCCUUGGGGGUCUUGUUGGUCUGGGCCUCCCCAAGAAGAUGUUGGGGAGGCUUUGGCCCCUCUUCCUGAGCCUCCUCACAGCAACAGCUGUCCCUGGACCCUCCUUGCGGCGACCUUCCCGAGAACUAGAUGCCACCCCACGGAUGACCAUUUCCUAUGAAGGUUAGACCCUCAAUCUUCAAAGGCCACAGCAGCCAGGGCUGGGAGCAGGGGGCAGCCCCCAAACUGGGCUCACUGCCUCUGCUCUCCCUAGAGCUCUCCGGGACCCGGCACUUCAAGGGCCAAGCCCAGAACUAUUCAACAUUGCUGUUGGAGGAGGCCUCUGCAAGGCUGCUGGUGGGAGCUCGAGGCGCCCUGUUCUCUCUCAGUGCCCAUGACAUAGGAGAUGGGGCUCACAAAGAGGUCAGCCCCUGAAACUUGGACCACCCUCAGUGCCUAUAGCCUUAUCCUGUUCACAGGGACCUCAGCUUCCCAGAACCCUGCCAGACUUCCAUAGCCCCUUGGACAGCACUUCCCUUCCCAGCCCAGGUCUCCCUUGCAUCCAGUGUUCCUCCUACUAUUCACCCCAUCCCAGUUUUUCCAGCUCCCUUGAACCCUCUGGGUAAUGGGUAUUGUCAAUGCAUCUAUCCAUUCCCUUUACCCCUGCUAGAUCCAGUGGGAGGCCUCCCCAGAGAUGCAAAGCAAAUGUCAUCAAAAAGGGAAAAACAACCAGGUAUGUGGUGGUCUGCCCUGUCUCCAGCUCCUUCCUUCUCCUCAGUUGGGGAUGCCGGGGUUGAUAGGGACACAGAUGAGGUGGUACAGACUCCCCAGUCAACUUUUCAACCACAAAAAAACUGAGUGCUGCUGGAGUGGCAGACCUGGGGUGUAACCCUUCUAAUCCAAACAUCUGGUGGCUUACAGUUUGUCCUAUCAGGGCAUCUUAAUCCCCUCUGAACUCCCAAAUUAUAAUCAUGAUAAUAAGAAGUAACCUCUAGUAAGUGCUCACUUAGCUGUUAUCUACAUCAAGUUCUAAAAUAACUAUGAAGUAAUAUUUCCCUAUUUUACAGAUGACAGAAAUGAGGUUUUGGUGGGGGACUAGCUCUAGUACCCACUAUUCCAUGGAGGGGCAUUAUGGAAAUGCCAGCCCUAUCUGGCUAAAGAACAUGGUGUUUGCAAGGGACCUGCAUCUAACUAUGUAACAGAAUCUAUCUGGAAAGCUUUUUUAAAAGUACACAUUCCCAAGUUUCACUGGCCUGGAGACUCUUGAUUCUGGGGUGAUGCUGGGACAGCUGAAUUUAAAGAGGAGAAUCCAGGAGAUUCUAUAAAAGGCUGCCUCUUGGUGCAGUGUGGAUAGAUAACAGGGUUAGUGAGAUAAGUAGAACCCUAGUCAUGGAAGGCCAUAAUGCCCAGCAGAGGCUUUGGAUUUUAUUCUAUGACAAUGGGCACCCUCACAUUUAAUACCUUAUCUCAGGGCUCUCAAACUACAUGUGAUUCACCUGGGUAUAUUACAAAUACAGAUGCUAAAUCAGUAGGUCUGGAAAGGGCCUAGGAUUCUAUAGUUCUGACAAGCUCCCAGGUGACGCUGAGGCAGUAGUUCCCAUACAACACUUUGAGUGGGAAGGCUUCUGAGACUGUUUCUCAUUGUGCUGAGAGAGAUUAAUUUUCAAAAGAGGGGUUUAAUGAUCCAGUUUGUUUGGAAAGUGUUGCAUGUUCAGUUCCACAAUGCACAGCAAUAUCUUUAAGGUUCUAAGAUAGGUUUUACCUGUGGUUUUUCAAACUUAUUUGACCACAGAAUUCCUCCCCAGAAUUGAAAGCAGUGUGUGUCCUGGGACAGAGCAGGGAUGGCUUUUAAAAUGUAAACAUCUUAGGGUAAGCUCACUGUAGGAAAGUUUAUCUGGCCCAGACACCAGAAAGACUCAAAUAGGCUGAAUCUAGAGACAGGAAAAGCAUUGGUGAGGCUGGAGUAGUAUCCUAUGGGUCAGAGGAAAGAGGACUGAGAAGGCUAACAACGAAGGGACAGAUGCCAGGGGUACAGCAGGUGAGAGAGUGGGAGGAGAUAGAGAAGACUGUGUAGACUCAAACCCUGGGCAACAGACAGGAGGAAGAAUCAUUAACAAGGCAGAGAAGUGAAGAGAGUGGUAGCUUAGGGCAUUUGAAAGACAGAGUAGGCCAGUGUGGCUAGAAUUGAGUGAGUGAGGCCGAGACAGGGGUAAGGGGCAGGGCCCAGUGAUGCAGGGCCAGGGGCUUGAGGGACUCUGUUCAGGGCACUGAUGAGCCACUGCAAUGAUAUGAUCUAGUUUACAUUUGUGAAAUGCGCUUUGAGAAUUGGGUUGGAGAGGAGCAAGAGUGUGUUGAUUGGUAGAACAUCUCUAGAAGGAAGCUCCAGACAGUGGUAGUAGCAGUCCCCAGUCACAGACUACCUGGGAGACAGGAAUAAAUGGGAGACUGAUUACAACACAUCCCCUUAUACCUUUUCAAAUUUCAUACUACAUGCAAGUAUUCCUCAUUCACUGAACAAAAAGAGUUGCAGAGGAUAGUCAGGAGGCUGCUGAAGUUGUCCAAGAAAGAAAUGAUGGUAGUAAUUUGAAUUGGGCAGUGGUGAUAAGGUAAAUUGGACCAAGUUCAAGAGCAAUUUAGGACAAAGAAUGAAUCAUGAAGAGGGACUGAAUGUGGGGGCGAGGGAGUGAGAAGCAGUGAAGAUGACUCCUGACUCCUGGCUCCAUCCUUGAGAACAGGAUGGAGGCAGUGAAUGAGGUGGGAAAGACUGGAUGAGCAGGUUUAGGAGGGAAGAUGCAGGUUAGGGAGGAGAUGAGUUUGCCUCCUGACAAGGUGAGUUUGGUGUAUCUAAGGGAUGGCAGGUGGAGAGAGAGAGGCAGGGUGUGGGAGCUCCUGGACAAGGAACAUGCCUGAGAAGGAGUUCAGUGGGGGAAAAGCAUCUCAGGGUGGUGGGAGCCCUGGAAGCUCCAGAACUGGGGGUGGAGGGAGCUCCAGGAGACACAGGAGAAGCUGUGGUGUUAGGUGAUCCGAGAGCUUUGUCACUGGUAGGUUAAGGACAGAGAGUGCCAGGGAAUAUUUUGUAAUCUGGGCAAUGCAAAGGCCCAUGAGCAUCUUAGAACUGUUUGUCCUGUGAGUGGGGGAAAGAGACAGACUCUAAAAUAGAUUAAGGGAGGAGGCCUCUAGCUAAGCAGGGGACUCACACUUCUCCACUACCUCUUCCCACAGACCGAGUGUUUCAACCAUGUCCGGUUUCUACAGCGGCUCAAUGCCACCCACCUUUAUGCAUGUGGGACUCAUGCCUUCCAGCCCCUCUGUGCAGCCAUUGUGAGUAUGACUGACCCGAGCCCUGACUGCUGACCCUAGACUGUCUAACCUUGGGCUGCAGCCCACGCCUGUCCUGUGACUGACUGUUGGUACCUCAUUCCCUAGGAUGCUGAGGCCUUCACCCUUCCAACCAGCUUCGAGGAGGGGAAGGAGAAGUGUCCUUAUGACCCAGCCCGCGGCUUCACAGGCCUCAUCAUUGGUAAGCAGGCAUUCCUCCCCGCCCAG
RNAcentral lists this long non-coding RNA (7225 nucleotides) under Marmota monax (woodchuck). The record is from RNAcentral. Lineage: Eukaryota; Metazoa; Chordata; Mammalia; Rodentia; Sciuridae.